This 71-nucleotide transfer RNA is filed under the name Eudyptes pachyrhynchus (Fiordland penguin). Its description in RNAcentral is "tRNA-Val". The record is from RNAcentral. Lineage: Eukaryota; Metazoa; Chordata; Aves; Sphenisciformes; Spheniscidae. RNAcentral also lists the same sequence under 3 other names.
CAAGAUGUAGCUACAAAUAAAGCACUCAGCUUACACCUGAGAGAUAUCUGCCACCUACCAGAUCAUCUUGA